GUGAACGCUGGCGGUAGGCCUAACACAUGCAAGUCGAACGGCAGCACAGUAAGAGCUUGCUCUUACGGGUGGCGAGUGGCGGACGGGUGAGGAAUACAUCGGAAUCUACUUUUUCGUGGGGGAUAACGUAGGGAAACUUACGCUAAUACCGCAUACGACCUACGUGUGAAAGCAGGGGAUCUUCGUACCUUGCGCGAUUGAAUGAGCCGAUGUCGGAUUAGCUAGUUGGCGGGGUAAAGGCCCACCAAGGCGACGAUCCGUAGCUGGUCUGAGAGGAUGAUCAGCCACACUGGAAGUGAGAAACGGUACAGACUCCUAAGGGAGGAAGCAGUGGGGAAUAUUAGACGAUGGGGGAAAGGCUGAUCCAGCCAUACCGCGUGAGGGAAGAAGGAAUACGGGUUGUAAAGCCAUUUUGUUGGGAAAGAAAAGCAGCAGGUUAAUACCCCGCGGUACUGACGGUACCCAAAGAAUAAGCACCGGCUAACUUCGUG
This 491-nucleotide ribosomal RNA is filed under the name uncultured bacterium. RNAcentral's name for it is "partial 16S ribosomal RNA". It matches the Rfam family "Bacterial small subunit ribosomal RNA", at positions 29 to 507 of the family's 1533-position model. The record is from RNAcentral.